GAGUUUGAUCAUGGCUCAGGAUGAACGCCGACAGAAUGCUUAACACAUGCAAGUCUACUUGAUCCUUCGGGUGAAGGUGGCGGACGGGUGAGUAACGCGUAAAGAACUUGCCUUACAGACUGGGACAACAUUUGGAAACGAAUGCUAAUACCGGAUAUUAUGAUUGGGUCGCAUGAUCUGGUUAUGAAGGCUAUAUGCGCUGUGAGAGAGCUUUGCGUCCCAUUAGUUAGUUGGUGAGGUAACGGCUCACCAAGGCGAUGAUGGGUAGCCGGCCUGAGAGGGUGAACGGCCACAAGGGGACUGAGACACGGCCCUUACUCCUACGGGAGGCAGCAGUGGGGAAUAUUGGACAAUGGACCAAAAGUCUGAUCCAGCAAUUCUGUGUGCACGAUGAAGUUUUUCGGAAUGUAAAGUGCUUUCAGUUGGGAAGAAGUCAGUGACGGUACCAACAGAAGAAGCGACGGCUAAAUACGUGCCAGCAGCCGCGGUAAUACGUAUGUCGCAAGCGUUAUCCGGAUUUAUUGGGCGUAAAGCGCGUCUAGGCGGCUUAGUAAGUCUGAUGUGAAAAUGCGGGGCUCAACCCCGUAUUGCGUUGGAAACUGCUAAACUAGAGUACUGGAGAGGUAGGCGGAACUACAAGUGUAGAGGUGAAAUUCGUAGAUAUUUGUAGGAAUGCCGAUGGGGAAGCCAGCCUACUGGACAGAUACUGACGCUAAAGCGCGAAAGCGUGGGUAGCAAACAGGAUUAGAUACCCUGGUAGUCCACGCCGUAAACGAUGAUUACUAGGUGUUGGGGGUCGAACCUCAGCGCCCAAGCUAACGCGAUAAGUAAUCCGCCUGGGGAGUACGUACGCAAGUAUGAAACUCAAAG
Molecule: ribosomal RNA, 870 nt
Filed under: uncultured bacterium
Lineage: Bacteria
Description: bacterial SSU rRNA
Rfam family: Bacterial small subunit ribosomal RNA
Source: RNAcentral